GAUGAAGAACGUAGCGAAAUGCGAUACUUGGUGUGAAUUGCAGAAUCCCGUGAACCAUCGAGUCUUUGAACGCAAGUUGCGCCCGAAGCCAUCAGGUUGAGGGCACGUCUGUCUAGGCGUCACAUAUCGUUGCCCAAUGCCUAUUGCAGUGCAAUAGGAAUUUCUAGGGCGAAUGAUGGCUUCCCGUGAGCGUUGUUGCCUCGCGGUUGGUUGAAAAUCGAGUCCUUGGUAGGGUGUGCCAUGGUAGAUGGUGGUCGAGUUAGAACGAUACCGAUCAUGUGCAUGCUCCCCAAAAUAUGGCCUCUAUGACCCACACGCGUCUUUUGACGCUCAUGACGAGACCUCAGGUCAGGCGGGGCUACCCGCUGAAUUUAAGCAUAUCAAUAAGCGGAGGA
Molecule: unclassified non-coding RNA, 395 nt
Filed under: soil metagenome
Description: partial contains 5.8S ribosomal RNA, internal transcribed spacer 2, and large subunit ribosomal RNA
Rfam family: 5.8S ribosomal RNA (bases 1-122)
Source: RNAcentral